GGCGUGCCUAACACAUGCAAGUCGAACGGUAACAGGUCUUCGGAUGCUGACGAGUGGCGCACGGGUGAGUAACGCGUGGAUAUCUGCCUAUUAGUGGGGGACAACUUGUGGAAACGCAAGCUAAUACCGCAUAAUCCCUACGGGGGAAAGCAGGGGACCUUCGGGCCUUGUGCUGAUAGAUGAGUCCGCGUCUGAUUAGCUAGUUGGUAGGGUAAAGGCCUACCAAGGCGAUGAUCAGUAUCUGGUUUGAGAGGAUGAUCAGACACACUGGAACUGAGACACGGUCCAGACUUCUACGGAAGGCAGCAGUGGGGAAUAUUGCACAAUGGGCGCAAGCCUGAUGCAGCGACGCCGCGUGUGGGAAGAAGGCUUUAGGGUUGUAAACCACUUUCAAUUGGGAAGAAGAGAUGAGUGUUAAUAACAUUCUGAUUUGACGGUACCUUUAGAAGAAGCACCGGCUAAUUUCGUGCCAGCAGCCGCGGUAAUACGAAAGGUGCAAGCGUUGUUCGGAUUUACUGGGCGUAAAGAGAGUGUAGGUUGUUUAUUAAGUCGGAUGUGAAAUCCCGGGGCUCAACCUCGGAACUGCAUUCGAUACUGGUAGACUAGAGUUCGGGAGGGGUAAGCGGAAUUCCGUGUGUAGCAGUGAAAUGCGUAGAUAUACGGAGGAACACCUGAGGCGAAGGCGGCUUACUGGACCGAUACUGACACUGAGACUCGAAAGCGUGGGUAGCAAACAGGAUUAGAUACCCUGGUAGUCCACGCCCUAAACGAUGUCAACUAGCCGUUGCGGGUAUCGACCCCUGCAGUGGCGAAGCUAACGCGAUAAGUUGACCGCCUGGGGAGUACG
Molecule: ribosomal RNA, 847 nt
Filed under: uncultured bacterium
Lineage: Bacteria
Description: bacterial SSU rRNA
Rfam family: Bacterial small subunit ribosomal RNA
Source: RNAcentral